UACUCAUUAAGGCUGAGCUGUGAUGGGGAGAAGACAUUGUGUCUUCGAGUCGUUGAUUUCACACUGCCGAGAAAAGCCUCUAGAUAGAAAAUAGGUGCCCGUACCGCAAACCGACACAGGUAGUCAAGAUGAGAAUUCUAAGGUGAGCGAGCGAACUCUCGUUAAGGAACUCGGCAAAAUGACCCCGUAACUUCGGGAGAAGGGGUGCUCUUUAGGGUUAACGCCCAGAAGAGCCGCAGUGAAUAGGCCCAAGCGACUGUUUAUCAAAAACACAGGUCUCUGCUAAACCGUAAGGUGAUGUAUAGGGGCUGACGCCUGCCCGGUGCUGGAAGGUUAAGAGGAGUGGUUAGCUUCUGCGAAGCUACGAAUCGAAGCCCCAGUAAACGGCGGCCGUAACUAUAACGGUCCUAAGGUAGCGAAAUUCCUUGUCGGGUAAGUUCCGACCCGCACGAAAGGCGUAACGAUUUGGGCACUGUCUCAACGAGAGACUCGGUGAAAUCAUAGUACCUGUGAAGAUGCAGGUUACCCGCGACAGGACGGAAAGACCCCGUGGAGCUUUACUGUAGCCUGAUAUUGAAAUUCGGCACAGCUUGUACAGGAUAGGUAGGAGCCUUUGAAACGUGAGCGCUAGCUUACGUGGAGGCGCUGGUGGGAUACUACCCUAGCUGUGUUGGCUUUCUAACCCGCACCACUUAUCGUGGUGGGAGACAGUGUCAGGCGGGCAGUUUGACUGGGGCGGUCGCCUCCUAAAAGGUAACGGAGGCGCUCAAAGGUUCCCUCAGAAUGGUUGGAAAUCAUUCAUAGAGUGUAAAGGCAUAAGGGAGCUUGACUGCGAGACCUACAAGUCGAGCAGGGUCGAAAGACGGACUUAGUGAUCCGGUGGUUCCGCAUGGAAGGGCCAUCGCUCAACGGAUAAAAGCUACCCCGGGGAUAACAGGCUUAUCUCCCCCAAGAGUUCACAUCGACGGGGAGGUUUGGCACCUCGAUGUCGGCUCAUCGCAUCCUGGGGCUGUAGUCGGUCCCAAGGGUUGGGCUGUUCGCCCAUUAAAGCGGUACGCGAGCUGGGUUCAGAACGUCGUGAGACAGUUCGGUCCCUAUCCGUCGUGGGCGUAGGAAAUUUGAGAGGAGCUGUCCUUAGUACGAGAGGACCGGGAUGGACAUACCUCUGGUGUACCAGUUGUCGUGCCAACGGCAUAGCUGGGUAGCUAUGUGUGGACGGGAUAAGUGCUGAAAGCAUCUAAGCAUGAAGCCCCCCUCAAGAUGAGAUUUCCCAACUUCGGUUAUAAGAUCCCUCAAAGAUGAUGAGGUUAAUAGGUUCGAGGUGGAAGCAUGGUGACAUGUGGAGCUGACGAAUACUAA
This 1359-nucleotide ribosomal RNA is filed under the name Staphylococcus aureus. RNAcentral describes it as "partial 23S ribosomal RNA". It matches the Rfam family "Bacterial large subunit ribosomal RNA", at positions 1544 to 2904 of the family's 2925-position model. The record is from RNAcentral. Lineage: Bacteria; Bacillati; Bacillota; Bacilli; Caryophanales; Staphylococcaceae.